AGAGUUAAAAAGUGCGUGAAAUUGUUGAAAGGGAAACGUUUGACACCAGUCAUGCGGGUGGGAAAUCAAUCUUUUGGGAUGGGGAGUGUUGGAGGAAUUCCAGACCGCAAGGCUGGCCUUUGGCUCUAUCUCUGUUCCAAGUGAUGCACUUUCUCAUUUGCAGGUCAACAUCAGUUUCUUCUGCUGGACAAAACUCUAAGAGAAGGUAGCAGCUUUGGCUGUGUUAUAGCUCUGGAGCGAUACAGUGGGGGGGACUGAGGUUUUUGCAGUGUGUGCUCUCGGGCAAGGUCGACUGGGUGCUAUGUGAUCGUUCGGUGUACAAUGCUUGCAUUUUGCGCUGUGUCUUUUGCAUACUCGCUUGAAUCGACUCUUCCACGCUUAGGAUGUUGACUUAAUGGUUUUAAACGACC
Molecule: ribosomal RNA, 410 nt
Filed under: uncultured fungus
Lineage: Eukaryota; Fungi
Description: eukaryotic LSU rRNA
Source: RNAcentral